UACGAAGGGAGCUAGCGUUGUUCGGAAUCACUGGGCGUAAAGCGCACGUAUGCGGAUGUGUCAGUCAGGGGUGAAAUCCCGGAGCUCAACUUCGGAACUGCCUUUGAUACAGCACGUCUUGAGUCCGAUAGAGGUGGGUGGAAUUCCUAGUGUAGAGGUGAAAUUCGUAGAUAUUAGGAAGAACACCGGUGGCGAAGGCGGCCCACUGGAUCGGUACUGACGCUGAGGUGCGAAAGCGUGGGGAGCAAACAGG
This 253-nucleotide ribosomal RNA is filed under the name uncultured bacterium. RNAcentral's name for it is "partial 16S ribosomal RNA". It matches the Rfam family "Bacterial small subunit ribosomal RNA", at positions 524 to 776 of the family's 1533-position model. The record is from RNAcentral.